UAGGGAAUCUUCCGCAAUGGACGCAAGUCUGACGGAGCAACGCCGCGUGAGUGAAGAAGGAUUUCGGUUCGUAAAACUCUGUUGUUAGAGAAGAACAGCGCAUAGAGUAACUGUUAUGCGUGUGACGGUAUGUAACCAGAAAGGGACGGCUAACUACGUGCCAGCAGCCGCGGUAAUACGUAGGUCCCGAGCGUUGUCCGGAUUUAUUGGGCGUAAAGCGAGCGCAGGCGGUUAGAUAAGUCUGAAGUUAAAGGCAGUGGCUCAACCAUUGUAGGCUUUGGAAACUGUUUAACUUGAGUGCAGAAGGGGAGAGUGGAAUUCCAUGUGUAGCGGUGAAAUGCGUAGAUAUAUGGAGGAACACCGGUGGCGAAAGCGGCUCUCUGGUCUGUAACUGACGCUGAGGCUCGAAAGCGUGGGGAGCGAACAGG
Molecule: ribosomal RNA, 428 nt
Filed under: Bacteroidota bacterium
Lineage: Bacteria; Pseudomonadati; Bacteroidota
Description: Bacteroidetes bacterium partial 16S ribosomal RNA
Rfam family: Bacterial small subunit ribosomal RNA
Source: RNAcentral